CCUGACACUUAACUUCUCUCCGCUCGGUUGCAGAGUGCUUGUUCUCGCGCAGGGCUCCUCAGAAAAACUUGGCACUUACCAUCACCUUGGCAGGACCAGUUUUCCCUUUUCUUCAAGGAACUACACAAACGCUGCGCUGCCUCCCGGAGGCCGUUUUAUUUACUGUUGCUUUGCUAGUUUUGUUGCACUGCUUAACGUCCGUAGUCCCCAGAAGCAAUCUAUCACUGCUUUAGGUGGAGAGGAGUUUUUGUCUGAGAUUUCCUACGGAUGUCCCAACCGCCUUCUCACUGGAGUUUGCGCAUCUGUUAUCUUCUCUAUCGGAAGCUGCUUGCGGGCCGAAUUUAUGACUGAUUUAUCAGAAUUUACGGUCUCUAGCACUAAGCAAAGGUUAAUGAAGACAACUCGCUGAAAGACAGUUCUUGCUAUGUGGUCCAGUCUGGUCCUGACCUCACUAUGUAGUCCUGGUUGACCUCAGACUUGUGGUGAUUUUCUUGCCCCAUCCUCAUGAGUGCUGGAAUUACAGGAUCUCGCCAUGUAGGGCAGGAUGGCCUUAAAACUCAUGGUGAUCCUCCUGCCUCAGCCUCCCGAGUGCUGGGAUUACAGGGUACACCACCACACCCGAUCUUUGAAUGUAUUCUUAAACUUUGAAUUAUGACUUAAUCCGCUGAUUAAGAAGAUGCUGUAAUCCUUCAUCAUGACACAUCAACUUGAACAGAUUAAGAAACUCACAGGACCUUCGCAAACCGUACUUUGGGGUGUCUCUACGGAUGGCUGGCAUGUAGGCCAGCGAACUGAGGGGUGAGACCAGCCCUGGAGGUGGGCGGCACGGUCAACAGGCUUUCUUUCGUCUGGACGGAGUAAAAAGGGGAUCAAAGCGGGAAGAGUUCCAGCCUGGCCCCCUCAUUUUCACGCCGGUCUCCCAGCAGCUGCUACACCUCCAGCUCUGCGGUGUGCACACCACCACGUGAACACUCUCACCUCUGGUCCUGAAAGUUACCUAACACACCCCCGCGGGUAAUUGCGUAUUUUCAGUUGCUUGUGCAUCUUGAGGGAACCCUGAUACAGUUCAGAAUAAUAUAAGUUAAUCUGCUGCAUGUACAUGCUGUAUUUCCUGUCUUUUACUAAGUAAUAAGUUUUAUGAAACUGUGAGAUAUUUAAAUUCAUGAAUCUGAUUUACAGCGGUACCUUGGCUCAUGAAUUUAAUUCCACGAUUUUGGAAAAGAUGGCCACUUUCGUGUCCAUGCGAGAAAGAUGGCCGAGGUCGUGUUUGUUACCAAUAUAGAGUCUGCAAACAAAAUAAAAAUUUUG
Molecule: long non-coding RNA, 1308 nt
Organism: Cavia porcellus (domestic guinea pig)
Lineage: Eukaryota; Metazoa; Chordata; Mammalia; Rodentia; Caviidae
Exons: 3
Source: RefSeq, a predicted model, not a curated record